Molecule: ribosomal RNA, 254 nt
Filed under: uncultured bacterium
Lineage: Bacteria
Description: partial 16S ribosomal RNA
Rfam family: Bacterial small subunit ribosomal RNA
Source: RNAcentral
GACGUAGGGCGCGAGCGUUGUCCGGAUUUAUUGGGCGUAAAGAGCUCGUAGGCGGCUUGUCGCGUCGACUGUGAAAACCCGUGGCUCAACCAUGUGGUCUGCAGUCGAUACGGGCAGGCUAGAAUUCGGUAGGGGAGACUGGAAUUCCCGGUGUAGCGGUGAAAUGCGCAGAUAUCGGGAAGAACACCCGUGGCUAAGGCGGCUCUCUAGUACGGUACUGACGCUGAGACGCGAAAGCGUGGGGAGCGAACAGG